RNAcentral lists this ribosomal RNA (468 nucleotides) under uncultured bacterium. RNAcentral's name for it is "partial 16S ribosomal RNA". It matches the Rfam family "Bacterial small subunit ribosomal RNA", at positions 28 to 507 of the family's 1533-position model. The record is from RNAcentral.
GACGAACGCUGGCGGCGUGCUUAACACAUGCAAGUCGAACGGAAAGGCCUGGUUUUGUUGGGUGGUUGGGGUGGGAAAGGGGUGAGUAACAGGUGGGUACCCUGCCUUGACUUUUGGGUUAAUUUAGGGAAAUUGGGGUAAAUACCGGAUGGGAGUCCCGGUGGCAGGGGGGGGGUGGGAAGGUUUCGGCGGUUGGGGAUGGACUCGCGGCUUAUCAGCUUGUGGGUGGGGAGGGGGCUUACCAAGGCUUUGACGGGUAGCCGGCCUGAGAGGGUGACCGGCCACAUUGGGACUGAGAUACGGCCCAGACUCCUACGGGAGGCAGCAGUGGGGAAUAUUGCACAAUGGGCGGAAGCCUGAUGCAGCAACGCCGCGUGCGGGAUGACGGCCUUCGGGUUGUAAACCGCUUUCGCCUGUGACGAAGCGUGAGUGACGGUAAUGGGUAAAGAAGCACCGGCUAACUACGUG